Physcomitrium patens is the source of this 466-nucleotide long non-coding RNA. RefSeq lists it as uncharacterized. NCBI's taxonomy places the organism in Eukaryota, Viridiplantae, Streptophyta, Bryopsida, Funariales, Funariaceae. The record is from RefSeq and is a predicted model, not a curated record.
CGAUGAUCAGUGCAAUUUCGGAUUCUUCAGUUUUAUCGAGGUCAGUCAGUUCCUUAUCGACAUCACCAAGUCUUGCUUUGUCGCUGAGGAUCAUUCGAGGUUUCGACCCUUGCUGAGAAUAGCUGCUGGAUCGAUUGCUGAUCUGAUCCAGUGGUUGAAUUAGUCAGAGAUCGAGGAGGUGAGGGUGUUGGAUCGGGGAAGGGGUCGAAGCAUGUAAGUGAAGGCACUACCGGACACUUUGCAAACCUAUGAUGCGCGGAUAUUUAGUUUUCACAUGUGUUUGAAUACGAGGUGUAGUUCUGGGAGUGGAUUUCGUCAAAAGGUUUGAAAAGCUCGACUUUUACCCAUGAGGGUCUGAUGUGAUACCUCAUGUCAUACAGCAUAUCAGUUUUUACUCGGUACAGAACGAUGUUUGCUCGUUACUAUGCUUAAUCAACUACAUUCUCCAGUACAUUACUUCACAUGC